This 460-nucleotide ribosomal RNA is filed under the name uncultured bacterium. RNAcentral's name for it is "bacterial SSU rRNA". It matches the Rfam family "Bacterial small subunit ribosomal RNA", at positions 340 to 786 of the family's 1533-position model. The record is from RNAcentral.
UACGGGGAGGCAGCAGGUGGGGAAUAUUGCACAAUGGGCGAAAGCCUGAUGCAGCUAUGCCGCGUGUAUGAAGAAGGCCUUAGGGUUGUAAAGUACUUUCAUCGGGGAGGAAAAAAACAAAACUAAUAAUUUUAUUUCUUGACGUUACCCGAAAAAGAAGCACCGGCUAACUCCGUGCCAGCAGCCGCGGUAAUACGGAGGGUGCUAGCGUUAAUCAGAAUUACUGGGCGUAAAGAGCACGUAGGUGGUUUUUUUAAAGUCAGAUGUGAAAUCCCUGGGCUUAACCUAGGAACUGCAUUUUGAAACUGAAAUACUAGAGUAUCGUAGAGGGAGGUAGAAUUCUAGGUGUAGCGGUGAAAUGCGUAGAUAUCUGGAGGAAUACCUGUGGCGAAAGCGGCCUCCUAAACCGAAUACUGACACUGAGGUGCGAAAGCGUGGGGAGCAAACAGGAUUAGAUACC